AUGAGGCGAGCCCUCCUAACCCUAAUCCACCGCUACUACCUCGACGCGCUCUCGCGGCUCCCCGCCGCCGGUCACUGCUACGGCCCUCUACACCCUGUCCACAACAUCAUCGUCAAUUCCGUCUGGUACUCUGCUGCUUUUCCCAUUCGCUCCAGUGACCGGAUAGAUACCGCCUUCAUCAGUAACUGUACCAUGCGCCGCCUUGUUCAGUGCUCGCUUGAUGGAUUGGUUGCCUCACUUCGCCAUCUCUGUCCUGGCCUCUCCGAUGACGAUGCCCUUUGGCACCUCAGUCUCUCCCGCGCCGACCUCCGUGCCCCUGUUGCCUCCGCGCGCGGUGCUGCCCUGUCGUCGUUCCGUCUGACGGCAUUGGAGCUGGAAGCCGCCUUUCAAGCGGCUGACAAGGCAGCACGGCAUCUGAAACCUGCGGCCCUUGCGCUCUUCGCUUCUUCCGUUGUGCUUUCUGUGGAACGUGACGCUGUCUCACUGCUCAACAACAAGCAUGAGCUGCCACACCCUCCUCUUGAAGAGCGGUUCACGGCGGCCUUUAAACUCAUCACUAGAAGGAGGAACUUUCUCAUAAGAUGGUACAAACGAUGGGUGGAAUUAGCGGAUGCAGCGUUGUGCAAGUAUGCCCAGCAAACUGCGGCACAUUAUCAGCUUCAUGUCAUCUAUGGCAUUGGUUCCGUGCACUAUGAGUUCAAUAUGGAUCAGUCUUUCCAUAUUAGUUUUAUGGCGUGGCCGAAGGAUCCUAACUGUGCUAAAGAAGCUCCUGUGUUUUUCUUUGCUGAAGCACUUCCGUCUGGCUCCGACUUUUGUGAAGAGGACAUCACCUUGUGCUGUACAGUACAGCCAUCACCAAGUGAAGUUGAUAGGUGCCAUGGAUGUCUUACCGGGAACUUCCAAAUUGACCACCCGGAUGAAUCUGAGAACUUUUCUGGUGGGCAGUACCAUAGUUGCCAUGUUUCCGGAUCGAGGGACGGCCUACCGUUCCCUGUUUCCGGCUACUAUGGGCAGUACUACACUUUGGAUGCCGAUGGAACAGUCAAAGACCUGGAUUGCCCCAUCAAAAGUGAUGCUGACUUCAGGUGUUUCGAUCCUGUCAGAGACAUUGGUUUCGUGGAGUACCUGGAUCAAGAGUUAACCAGUUACAUAUCCUCUUGGCCCUCCAGGCGCGUUCGUCGUUUUUACAGAGAAAACAUCGAUCAAGCUAUCUUGGACUACUGCAGCGGAAUUAUGUGA
RNAcentral lists this ribosomal RNA (1239 nucleotides) under Triticum aestivum (bread wheat). Its description in RNAcentral is "partial small subunit ribosomal RNA". The record is from RNAcentral. Lineage: Eukaryota; Viridiplantae; Streptophyta; Magnoliopsida; Poales; Poaceae.